CAGGCCCUGUCCCUCGUUUUAGAUCGCCCAAGCCCAGCUCGAGUAAAAAGCUCAAGCCGGGCCUGGUGGUAACGUGAGGCCACGUUGUGGUUUUGCUGUGAAUAUUAAACUUCAGCAGUAAAAGCUGGUGGGUUUGUAUUUGGAUUAGAGUUUGUGCAAAGAAUGCUAGAUUCAGAUGAUACUGGCGCCAGAUUGAUUCUGCUGCUUCCAACCAGCAAGAUUUGCCUCCCCUUGCACAGAAGACGUCUUUCAAGUCCAAGCUAGUUGGUGACUCCCCAAAGGAAAACAAAACAUGGCAUUGAGUUGAGUAGCUUAAAUCAGAGGACAUAGCUAAUAUUUGUUAGGACUCUGUAGGUGAAAAUUGCUUUGCAAAGGAGUACACUGACUCCUUGGGAAAGAGAGGAAUACAAAAGAGUGGUUCCUUUUUGUUCACGGUAUCUCAGCUGUGAACUCGCAGUCAGAAUACGUGAGUCUGUAUCCCACCAAGUCCCCUAGCUCUGAGACUUUGGUUUUUGCAAAAUCAGCGUACUUCACUUUAGAGAUCUGUUAGCAAAGGCAAAGAAGGUAAGUGGCUAUGCUAGCCCCUUCCUUCUGGACUCCUGUAGCGCUCACUCCAUGUUUUACUGAAAAUAAUUAGUUUAAAUGUAUAUGCCCUCAGCUGGAAAAUAUAUCCCUAGUGAACAGGAAAUUGUAGGUUCAUCAUAUAUGUUGAGUGAAUGGAUGGGUAUAGUCGUACUAAAGUUGUGUUUUUGUUUGUUUUGUUGUUUUGUUUUUUGUUUUUGUUUUUGUUUUGAGACAGUCUCACUGUGUUGCCCAGGCCGGAGUACAG
This 829-nucleotide long non-coding RNA is filed under the name Homo sapiens (human). Its description in RNAcentral is "HSALNT0159345". Lineage: Eukaryota; Metazoa; Chordata; Mammalia; Primates; Hominidae. The record is from RNAcentral.